GUGGCGAACGGGUGAGUAACACGUAAGCAAUCUACCCUUUAGACUGGGAUAACCUUGAGAAAUCAGGGCUAAUACCAGAUAAUUCUAAGAUUCACAUGUUUCUUAGUUAAAACGGAAUGCAAAAACCGCUUUAGGAUGAGCUUGCGGCCUAUCAGCUAGUUGGUGGGGUAAUGGCCUACCAAGGCAACGACGGGUAGCUGGUCUGAGAGGACGGUCAGCCACAAUGGAACUGAGACACGGUCCAUACUCC
Molecule: ribosomal RNA, 250 nt
Filed under: uncultured bacterium
Lineage: Bacteria
Description: partial 16S ribosomal RNA
Rfam family: Bacterial small subunit ribosomal RNA
Source: RNAcentral